CUGGACCAACCUUCCAGAGUCCGGUAGCUGCACAGCCCCAGAUCAUCCGGCCACGGACUGAUCCGGGAGGCCAGAAAGCCGGCAAGACGGAAUUGCCCGUCUUGGACGGUGCCGGCAGCGGACCGUCUGGGCGUCGGUUUGUGUCACUGGCAACCAUCACUCGCACUUAAACCGGGCCCAGGUGCCCAUAGAAGGCAGAAAUGGUGGACACGGAUCGCUCUCAAGGAUGCUCCGCUCCGAGCCCGUCACCUAGGAUCAUCUGGGCUGUUUCUGCUGUCCGGGGACGCCGCCGUGGAAGCGAUUCGGCAGGGCGCUCGCCACCAACCGCUCUCCAAGUUUGUGCUGAAUGGAGGCAAAAGGUUGGCUUUUCGCUUGCGGGGUGGUGGAAGGAAGCAGAACUUUGAUGACACUUCUCGGUCGGCUCUUGGCGUGUCUGUGACUGCCUUCGCUGAGAGGUGCGCUGCGGGUGUCCGGCGAGGAAGAAAGAAGGGUUCGCAGCGCGCGGGGCCUGGGCGUGGAGGUGCGCUUUGCGGCUCCGCUCCGCCCCGGGCUGCAGGGCCUGGACGGUUUCUGUUCAGUAGGGUGUGUGUUACGAGCGUGGAUAGGACAGAGAUCCAGACACAAAGACAGACAAGGCAUCAGUUACUGCAGUGGGCUGGAUCUGUGUGAACUCCGAGAGCGAGAUUCGGUAACUGGGUGCAGCUGGUGCGUGUGGCUCGGUGCACAUCGGAGUCUGUGCGUUCGAGGCUUGUGUGCGGAACUGGUUGUCCACGUGUUUCGACUGGGGUUGCCCGCGCUUGUGCCUCGCCCAGCCACAGAGUAACUCCAGUUUGGCCUCCGGUCACAACUGAGACUUCAGUGAUCCAGUAAUGCUGUGAUUCUCCAGGACAAGAAACAUCCUGGGAGAACAAACAUCUGCUCAGUUCCUCAUUGUUCUUGGACUGUUAAUAUCUUGUUUGCCGGAGAUGUACUGAACUCUCUGCAAGCCUUCCAUUACACCUUGUUUAUCCCAAUAUGAACUAUUGAACUCUCUGCAAGUCAUUUGUUACAUUUGUUUCUCCCGAUGUACUGAAUAAAAGGUGUGGUAAGCUGGGG
RNAcentral lists this long non-coding RNA (1095 nucleotides) under Heterocephalus glaber (naked mole-rat). RNAcentral's name for it is "lncRNA (ENSHGLG00000037086.1)". The record is from RNAcentral. Lineage: Eukaryota; Metazoa; Chordata; Mammalia; Rodentia; Bathyergidae.